CCUAUACAUGCCAUAGUUCAAACAUAGUUCAUCAUAAAAUACCGAGUCAUUAUGGUUGAUAGUGUGGACGAUCUUCGACGUCUUAAGGAUCCUCGAAUUUGAUUAAUAUAUAAAAAGAAAAUAAACAAAGUAAGCAUAAUGCUUAGUAAGUUUACAAGUAACUAAAUAGCAAUAUUAAAUGCAAAUAAUAAUAACCAAGUAACAUAAUCUUUAAUUUCCUCUUUACUUUAUCUCUUACUCAUUCACUUACUUGUUUACUUAGACAACUCAUAAUUAGGACUUACUUUUCUCUUGCUGAAAUGUUGAUUCUCAAUGGGUAACGUAAUAUACUCUUAACUCUUAUAACUCACUUUAACUUGCCAUUUAUACUUUUAACUAAACUUUCAUGGAUAUAAGUUAUUUACUAGCCCGUUGAACUACAUUGAAAUAAUAAGGAUACUUAGGUCUCUUUCUGAUAAUAACAUGCCAAAGUCAUGUCCCAGACAUAGUCUUACAUGGGAUGUUUCAUGUACUACCAGUGCCAUAUCCCAUAUAUGGUCUUACAUGGGAGUUCUCAUAUCGGUGCCAAUGCCAUGUCCCAGACAUGGUCUUACGGGGGACCUCUCAUCUCGGUGCCAAUGCCAUGUCCCAGACAUGGUCUUACAUGGGACCUCUCAUCUCGGUGCCAACGCCAUGUCCCAGACAUGGUCUUACAUGAGACCUCUCAUGAUCUCAAUGAUGCCAAUGCCAUGUCCCAAACAUGGUCUUACAUGGGAUCUCUUUACCUAUAUGUCAUGACAUUUGUAUCCAAUACACUCCUAAUUUUUCAACGGGGCUUUUAUAAAUACAUAAUUGCUGAAAAAUAAUUUCAUGUAAUAAAUACAUAAUUGUUGGAAAAUAGCAGCAUUAAUAAUAAUUAUUGAAAUAUUGCAUUUAUUUACCGUAAACUUACCUCGGUAGCAAAUAUAGCCAAACUUAUCAAUUUAGUCUUCAACUUUAUUCUUUCCUCGAUCUAACCUCGAAUUCCGUUCUUCUUGAUCUAUAAUAGUAAAUUUAACUUAUUUAAUACUCACAUUCAUUAAAACAGCCCUCAACUCUAACUUUGGAAAAAUUACAAUUUUACCCCUAAACCUUUACAUAAUUACGCUUUUGCCCCAAAUCUCGAAAAUUAAACUUCAUCUCAUAUUCUUAUGUUAUAUAACAUGCUGAACAUUUUUAUCUUCUAUGACAACAUCAAAUUCUCACUCUAACACUUAUGCACAUUAGGGAUUUUUACCGAUUUUGUCAACUUACUCGUUUUCGCUUAAAAUAGACUAGCAAAAGUUGUUUAACAUAAUUUCUAGCUGCACAUUAUGUCAUAAAACAUCAAAAUAAACACUUUUCACAUAUAGGUAUUUUUCCAAAUAUUAACCCUAGGUUAAAUUAUUGCUAGAAUAAGCUAAAUUAAACUACCGGGAUCUCGAAAACAUAAAAAGCAUUAAAAACGGGGCUUAAAAUCACUUACUAUGAGCUUGAAAAAGUGUGAAAACCCUAGCUAUAGUCUUUCCAAAUUCGACAACAAGCUAUGGUGAAGAUGAUAUUUUUUCCAUAUUUUUCCCUUUUUAUUAUUCAUUUACUAAAAUACCCUUCACUAAAACUUUAGUUAUUUUUAUCUAUGCAUGCCUAUUUUUGUCCAUGGAAAUUUUAUGGUCUAAUUACUAUUUAAGAAUCUCUACUUUGAUUAUGCACUUCAAAUAAAUCCUUUAUCAUCUAAAACUCAUAUUUACCCACUUUUGCAAUUAAGUCCUAAUAAGCAAUUUAGGCAUGCAAUCAAUAAAAUUUCUUAUCAAUACUCUAAUACUUUUAUCUAAUCACUCAAUAAAUCAUAAAAAUUAAUAAUAAUUUUCUCUUUAAAUCGAAUUUGUGGUUAUGAAACCACUAUUUCGAUAACCUUAAAUUUAGGCCAUUACAUGAAGGGUCUAAUCUAUACCGUCUCAACAUUGAUACAUGAAACACAUUAUGGAUCUUCUUAAGUUUCGGAAGCAAAGUCAAUCUAUAAGCUACUGGACCAAUUCUUUCUAUGUCUUCAUACGGCCCGAUAAAUCGUGGACUAAGUUUUCCCUUUCUACCAAACCGUAAAACUUUCUUCCACGGAGAAACUUUCAAGAACACACGAUCACCCACAUUGAAUUCUAUAUCUCUUCUCUUCAAAUCUGCGUACGACUUCUGACGAUCGGAAGCAACUUUCAAACUAUCUCGAAUAAUCUUGACUUUCUCUUCAGUUUCCCGAAUCAAUUCCACUCCCACUAACUUCGAUUCACUUAAUUCAUACCAAUACAAUAGGGUUUUACAUUUCCUUCCAUAAAAAGCUUCAAACGGUGCCAUCUUGAUACUAGUUUGGUAGCUAUUAUUAUAAGCAAAUUCAGCUAAAGGUAAAUACCUUUCCCAGCUACCACCAAACUCAAGUAUACAACACCUCAACAUAUCUUCUAAAAUUUGAAUCACUAGCUCAGAUUGCCCGUCGGUCUGAGGAUGAAAAGCUGUACUAAAUUUGAACUUAGUACCUAAAGCUUCCUAUAAUUUACUCCAAAAUCUCGAGGCAAACCUUGGAUCUCGAUCAGAAAUAAUGGACGUCGACACUCCAUGUAAUUUCAUAAUUUCUAACACCUAUACUUUCGCUAACUUUUCAAGCGAAAAAUCUGUUCUGACCGGAAUAAAAUGUGUUGACUUAGUCAAUUUGUCUACUAUCACCCAAAUUGAAUCUUUCUUUUUCGGAGUAAUAGGUAAUCAAGAUACAAAAUCCAUCAUGACAUGCUCCCAAUUCCACUCAGUAAUCAUUACGGGUUGUAACAAACCUGUGGGCACUUGGUGUUUUGCUUUUACCUAUUGACAAAUCAAACACUUUGCAACGAAUUCACAUAUUUCUCGCUUUAUACCAGGCCACCAAUAAGUUCCUUUCAAAUCACAAUACAUUUUCGUACUGCCCGUGUGACAACCCUAAUUAGACCCUGGUCGGAAUGUGGUUUUGAGACCACAUUACCGAGCCAAAAAUUUAUUUUUGUGUUUUAAUUACAUAAAUUUUUGUGUGACAGUGAAUAUAUGAGAAAUUAAAUGCUUAAUAUUAGCUUUAGGAAUGUGAAUUAAUUCGAAAAAGACCUAGUUGACGAAGUUAGAAAAGAUGAUAGAUGAAUUAUAAGGAGUAAUUAAUAAUAGGGAGAGGAAGCAUGGCUUUGCAAGUCAAAUUACCCAUAAAAUACAUGGUGGCCGGCCAAUGAGUGAUGAUGCUCCACUCAUUCUAAUUUAAUAUGUUUUUUUUAGUUAACAAAUGAUGGGAAUAAUAAUAGGAAAGUGAACAAAAAAAAGGGGGUGUUCAUACUUGCCAUCUCCUAGCCGAAAAACCAAGAAAAAGAAAGGGAGAAAAAUUUUGAAGAAGUUCGGCCAUUGCUUGUAUCUAGGAGGAGUGUUUGAUGUUGUGGCAUGAAAAUGAGAGAGUUUGAAUGCUUAAUAAGGAGGGAAGAAGGAGUGUUCAUGUUUUCUUUCUUUUGCAAUUGUCGUAACUAGAGGAAGAAGAGGAAGCAAGAUUCGGCCAAGGUGGUCCUUUAGAUCAAGGUAUGUUCAAUGAUAUUUUUGGAAGUUUACACAACCUUUGGGUGAUGAGUCUAAAUUCUAUCUACCCCAUGGUUGGAUUUGGGGUUGUCGGAGAGUUAGGCUUUGACUAAGAAGCUUAAAAAUUUUAGUUGAUACCUUGAUGCUAUUAACAUGUUAGUUAUAUGUAUGUGUUAAAUUGCUUGUUAUGUUAGCAUGAAAGUUGAAGUUGUUAAGUCACUUUGUUGGAGGUGCCGAAUUUAGGACUAAGAAGAGAAUGAGUAUUCGGCUAACAUGGUUGAAAGGUGGAUGUGCCAAUUUUUAGAUUUAGACUAUGAGAAUGGCUAUAAUGGGCAUUAAGAUGUGGAACUUAAGAAAUGUAGUUAUAUGUGGAUUUACAUGAUGUUACAAAUAGAUGUGAAAAUAUGCUAGAUUAGGAAAAUUCGAUCAAGUGUUCAUGAGAUGAAAUUAGAUGUUUAAAUGAUGUUAUAGUUGACAUUGUACAUACAUUCGGCCAUCUAAUUGAGUAUGAAGGUAGUGUUAAAUCUAAUUGUGAUGCCCAUUCGGAAGUGUAUAUAUAUAUACAUAAGUAUGCCCAUUCGUGAGGUUACCUUUGAUUAUGUGUAUAAUCGACUAAAUGGGUAAUUAGUGAGGAUGGUUGCCGAAUAUACUAACAAACAUAUGCAUGUGUAAUUGGAUUAUAAAUAUUUAGCAAGGUGGUUAAACUAGUUGAUUUAUUGAUUAAGCUCAAGGAGUUAAAGGAGGAGAAUCAAGCAAAGGCAAAGAAAAGAUCAUCGAGUAGCCGAGUUGGAACCGUUUUACCCAACACAAGGUAAGUCAUUAAGCAUAUAUUUUGUAUUAAUUUAAAUGGUCAUAACGUCUAUGUAAUGAUGCUGAAUUGAAUGAUAAAUAUAUAUAUAUAUACAUGUAUGCAUGGGGUGAUGAAAGUAUUGAAUGAAAAAGAAAAGAGGUGAGAUGUAUUGAGUUGUUGGUUUCGGCACUAAGUGUGCGGGUGUAAACAUUUAUGAUCAUGAGAUUGGCACUAAGUGUGCGGGUUCAAAUUGUAUAGCACUAAGUGUGCGAGUUUGAUUAUAUAGCACUAAGUGUGCGAGUUCGACUAUUAAGCACUAAGUGUGCGGGCUUAUUAUACAUUCUCUAAUAAAUAUACAUGCUCUAAGUGUGCGGCCUUAUCGAGUCAAUCAUGGACAGCGGUACGAGUAAACACCUUGAGCUCAUGAGGAAUAGACAUUUUAUUUAUAUUUGGGAUUGAGCUUGGUAAGUCUUGAACCUAUGUGGUGAUUAUACUUGAAGAUAAAUGCAUCCAAUGUCAUAUGGUGUAAUGUAUGAAAUGUCAAAGUAGGGCUUGGUAUGAGAUCGAACCGAAAUGCCUAAGGAAUUAUAGCACUGUUUGGGUAUGGAUGGAGGAUUUUAAUCCCGCAUUAUUUAUUUUCUCUUAUGAUAUAUUAUUACUGAAUGGCAAUGUAAUGCUUUAUGACUUACUGAGUUAUAUACUCACUCGGUGUUUGCUUGUCACCUACUUUAGGUUUCUUGGACUCGUCUUUUUGCGUGCUCGGGACUGUCAUCGAAGUCAUCACACCGGCUAGCAACUUUUGGUAUCUUCUUUUUAGUCGGUCUAGGAGAACAUUUCGGCAUGUAUAGGCUAAUAUGUUUUGUUGAAAUUUGGUAUGUAAACUUUUAGCCAUGCGAAAAUGGCAUAAAUGUUCGAUUGGAUUUGGUUCUAUAAUGUUAGGUCGCAAGUCUUGGAAAUUCGAUUUUUAUGCCAUAUGUCAUGGUUGAUUAUUUUUGGUGUUAAAAUUCAUGAUAUGGCAAUAGUGUAGUAGGGAGAUGUUUGACAAUGAUUAGCCUUUGGCAUGGCUAGUCAUGAUCAUAAUUUGUGAUAUGUAUGAUGAAUUACUAGUUAGAUCAAGGAGAAAUCACGAGAUAGGCAUAGUUGCUUUAGUAAUAGAUGCUGGCAGCAGCAGUGACGGGAGAUUCAAAAAUCACUAAAAAUAGUAGGAAUGGAAUUAAUUAAUGAAUAAAUUAUGUAAUCGAAGGUCGAUGAGUCUAUUUUCAUAUAGAAGAAACGAAAUGACCAUAUGAGCUGUAUGUUAGGAGAUAAUUAAACUCUUGUGAAACAGGGCCAGAGCGAUUUCCGGAUCCCCUGUCCCGACUUUAGAAAUUCACCCUAAAUUAAUCAGAGACAAUUAGAAGUCAUGCUUUAUAUGUAUAGAUUCCAUUUUGAGUAUAGUUUCAUUAGAAACCAACGGAAUAAUUAUUGGAGCUCUGUAAAGGUAGAUAUCUAAGUCGUAAUGCACAAGGGUCAGAGUAGUCGAACCCAGGAACAGGGACGACUUUAACCAAUAAACUGUACCAAUUGGCCCAGCCAAAAAUUCUACAAAAAUUCUACCAUAUAGAUAUAUGAGUCUAGUUCCGGGGAAAAUUUAUGGAACUAGAUUUUGAGUUUCAGAACUCAAGAUAUGAUUUUUAAUGCGACUCGUACGCAGAUUGGCAGCUUGUCUGGGAAAUUUCUAAUAAGUGGUUUGAAGUCUGUUAACACCUCGUGUUCGACUCCGGCGACGGUCUCGGGUUUGGGGUGUUACAGCCCGGGUGAAUAGAAUACAUGCUGUUAUGGGCUUCAGAAAGAAUAUCAUUCUUCAAAUCUGAAUUAUUCGGAACACAAAUUCUAUUGCGAUAAUACAACAUGCUUCCAUCAUCAAUACUAUAUUCUGAACUCAUUUUGUCUCGAACCAUCUGUUUCUUCAGCACUAAUUUUGGAUCAUUUUUUUGCAACUCUCGAACCCGCUGAAAGAAUACAUGUUUCACUUUCAGCUUUGCUUACACAGAACCAUCUUCAUUAAUAGAUAAAUGAGUAUUUAUAGUUCAAAGUGAAAACAAAAACGACUUUCGACUGAGUGUAUCUGCCACCACAUUAGCUUCCCCGGGUAGUAAUCAAUAACAAGAUCAUAACCUUUUAACAACUCGAACCAUUGUCUUUGUCUCAAAUUCAACUCCUUCUAAGUCAUUAAAUAUUUCAGACUUUUAUGAUUUUAUACACAUAGCAUUUCUCACCGUAUAAUUAGUGCCUCCAAAUUUUCAAAGCAAAUACAAUUGCAGCCAAUUCAAGGUCAUGUGUAGGAUAAUUAUUCUCAUGCGGUUUUAGCUGUCGAGAAGCAUAGGCCACUACUUUUCCCGACUGCAACAGUACACAACCCAAUCCAUUUAAAGACGCAUCACUAUAAACAACAUACGGUACACCCGAUUCUGGUUGAGUUAAGACUGGAGCUUCUGUUAGCAUUUUCUUCAAUUGAUCAAAACUCUGUUCACAUUCAUCAGACCAAACAAAUUCAACAUUCUUCUGUAGUAAUCAGGUCAUCGGUGAGGCAAUCAUUGAAAAGUCUUUCACAAAUUGGCGGUAAUAACCAGCUAAUCCCAAGAAACUUCGUACUUCUGUUAUGUUCUUUGAAAAUUUUCAAUUCACCACUGCAGUCACUUUACUUAGACCUACCCGAAUCCCUUCAGCUGACACAAUAUGACCCAAAAAUCUGACCUCAUGUAGCCAAAAUUCACACUUGCUAAAUUUUGCAUAUAACUGCUUCUCUUAAGGUCUGUAACACAAUUUUCAAAUGUUGAGCAUGCUCAGAUUCUUCUUUGAAUAAAUCAGUCUAUCAUCAAUAAAUACAACCAUGAAUCUAUCCAAAUAAGGUUGAAAAAUUUGAUUCAUCAGAUCCAUAAAAGCUGCAGGAGCAUUUGUCAACCCAAAUGGCAUAACCAAAAAUUCGUAACGACCAUACCGGGUUCUGAAAGUAGUUUUUGGCACAUCGUAUCCUUUAACUUUUAAUUAAUAAUACCCAAAUCUAAGGUCUAUCUUUGAAAACACUGCAGCACCUUUCAGUUGAUCAAACAAAUCAUCUAUACGAGGCAAUGAAUAUUUAUUCUUGAUUGUAACCUUGUUCAACUGUCUGUAAUCUAUACACAAUCUUAAUGAGCCAUCUUUCUUUUUUACGAACAAUACAGGUGCACCCCAAGGAGACGUACUUGGUCUAAUAAACCCUUUGUCUAAUAAUUCUUACAACUGAGUUUUCAACUCUUUUAAUUCUGCUGGUGCCAUUCUAUACGGUGUUAUGGAUAUCGGAGCUGUUCCUAGAAUUACAUCAAUCACAAACUCAACUUCACGAUCUAGCAGUAAACCCGACAAUUCCUCAAGAAACACAUCAACAAAUUCAUUGACAACUGACAGCUGUUCUAACUUUGAUCCAAAACCCCGGGUAUUAAGAAUAUAAGCUAAAUAUGUUUCAUUACCUUUCUAUACCAUUUUUUGAACUGAAAAGGCUAAAAUAAUUCUGACAUCAUCUUUUAUAUUUUCAAACUCAGUUGAAAUUACUUCUCCUGCCUGGUUUUUCAAAUCAAUUCAUUUCUCUCGAUAGUUCACUACAACAUCAUGUUUUGUUAACCAAUCUGUUCCCAAAAUAGCAUCAAAUUCCCGAAAAGGUAACAUCAAAUCAGCAAGAAAUUCACAGCCUUAUAUUUUUAGUGGACAAUUUCGACAUAUUAAAUUAACUAGUACACUUUGUCCUAAUGGAUUUGUGACUUGCACGUCAUAAUCAGUAGAUUCAACAGAUAAUUUAUUCUCUGAUGCUAAUGCAGUGCAAACAUAAGAAUGUAUAGAUCCAGGAUCAAUUAAUGCAUACACAGAAUCAUCAAAAAGAUAGAAAGUACUAGCUAUCACAUCUGAAGUUGCAGCCUAUUCCCUUGCUCGAAUGGCAUAUGUAUGUGCAGGUGCUCGAGCUUUUGAUCGAAUAGUAGAAUCUCUUAUUCCCGAGUGACUAGUUCCCGCUGCACCACUUUGACCCGAACGUUUGCCUUUCUAACAGGUAACUGUUUGUGUUUCUUUUUGUUCUUCCUUUGGCAGUUUAGGGCAAUUUCGAAUAAAAUGAUCGGUACCCCCACACCUAUAACAAGCUCCUAUUCUACCCUAACAUUCACCAAUAUGAAACCUCCCACAAUUUUUACAUAUAGGCUUGGAAAAAUUCUGUACACUGCUAAGACUAGCCGUAGGUUAAAUAGUUACUCCAACAUUUCGUUGAGUUGUCUUACUUUUAUUCAAUCUUUCUGAAGUUGAAGUAGGUUGGCUAGAAUCAUCUAUGAACUUUUUAGCUGAAACUGUCGAUAUUGAUCUAGAAUAACUCCUCUUGAAAGAUUCUUUAUUCCGACUCUCUCUUUGCUUCUUUCUGUUAUAUACUUAUUCCACCUUCUGGGCUCGAUCUGACAGAGUAACAAAUUCUCAAAUUUCUGUGCCUCCAAUUAUCAUUCUAAUAUCAUUAUUUAACCAUUCCUCAAAUCUAAUACACAUUUCUUCUUCAAUCGACACAAUAUCUCGAGCAUAUUUACUGAUAUAUACAAAUUCUUUUUCAUAUUUAACCACCGUUCGAUUUUCUUGUCACAAGUCAAGAAAUUCCCUCUUCUUCUUGUCCAGAUAUCUCUUACCGACAUAUUUCUUUUUGAACUCACCCUGGAAAAAUUCCCAAGUAAGCUUCUCUUCAGAUGCUACUGCUUCCAUAGUUUCCCACCAAUUAUAUUGUAACACCCCGAACCCGAAACCGUCACCGGAGUCGAACACGAGGUGUUAACAGACUUUGAACCACUUAUAAAAAAAUUUCCCAGACACUGCCAAUCUGCGUACUAGUUGCUUUAAAAAUCAUAUCUUGAGUUCAGAAACUCGGAAUCCAGUUCCGUAAAUUUUCCCUAAAACUAGACUCAUAUGCCCAUCUACGUAUUUUUUCUAGAAUUUUUGGUUGGGCCAAUUAGUACAGUUUAUUAGUCAAAGUCUCCCAUGUUACAGGGAUCAACUACACUGACCUUUGCGCAUUACGACUUGGAUAUCUCCCUGUACAGGGCUUCAAUACUGAUUUCGUUUGUUUCUAUAGAAACUAGACUCAAAGAGGAAUCUAUACAUAUAUGGCAUGACUCCUAAUUAUCUCUGGUUAAUUUAUAAUGAAUUUCCAAAGUCGAAACAGGGAAUCCAGAAACCGUUCUGGCCCUGUAUUACGAGAACCUGAAUAUCUCUUAACAUACUGCCCAUAUGAUCGUUUCAUUACUUUCCUAUGAAAAUAGAUUCAUCAAGGUUCGUUUACAUAAUUUAUUCACUAUUUAAUUCCAUUCCUACUAUUUUUAGUGAUUUUCCAAAUCUACAUCACUGCUGCUGUCAGCAUCUGCCUUUAAGGUAGACUUUACCUAUUUCAUAGUUUCCAUGAUUCAACUAGCCCUUUUAGCAUAAAUAGCACAAAUUAUGAUAGUGAUUAACCAUUCCCAUGGCCAAUCCUUGUUAAGCAUAUCCACACCAAAUGAUGAUAACAUUAUGCUCAAACAUAUAUAAGCCAUUUUCGCAUGGCUAUCCAAAAUUAUACAAGUCCAAAGGGUCCAUGACCCACAACAAAUGGGUAGUCCUAUACAUGCCAUUUCGAAGUUCAACCAAAUUUGCACCAAAAGGGGGGGGGCUUUGAUAGUGUGGGCGACUUCGACUUCAAAAUCCCGAGUCCGAUAGCUGGAGAACCAAAAUCUAUAAAACAGAGAAUCAAGGAGACGGAGUAAGCAAUUUAUGCUUAGUAAGUUUUGAGCAAGGGAUUCCAGCACAACAAAAGUAUAGCAUUCAUGUAGCUAAACGGAUAAUUUCAUAUGCACAAUUUUUCAAUAUCAUACUUCACAUUACCAACCCUUUUAUUCAUACACAAAGAUCAACUUAGCCAAAGGCCGGUAGCUCAUUUAUCCACUGAGCGAAUACUUAUUUGUAAGGGCUCAACUAAUUCAAAGCACAUACGAAACAUACCUCAAUGUUGGGAUGUUUCAAGCGUAUUAACUGAAAUUUUUACAGCAAGAUCAUUCAUUCCCAAAUCACGUACCUUCGGAAUUUAACCGGAUAUAGCUACUCGUUCAAAUGCCUUCGGGACAUAGCCCGGUUAUAGUAACUCGCACAAAUGCCUUCGGGACUUAACCCGGAUUUAGUAACUCGCACAAAUGCCUUCAGGCUUAGCCCGGAAUUAGUAUCUCGCACAAAUGCCUUCGGAUCUUAGUCCGGAUUUAGUAUCUCACACAAAUGCCUUCGGAUCUUAGUCCGGAUAUGGUCACUUAGCACAAAGCCUUCGGGACUUAGCCCGGGCAUCAUUCAAAUAACCAUGCACAUUUAACAAUAAAUCAUGGCACAUUCGUAUUUCAUUUUCGUUAGCAAAACUCAAACACAAGACUCUUAUCAUUCUUGCAAUUUCGGCUCAAUAGCCACACACAAAGAGCAUGAUUUUAAUUUGCUUAAAACAUGAUCUAAUCAAAUCAUAAUUUAAGCUCUUUUACUCAAGAACUUACCUCGGAUGUUGUCGAACAAUUCCGAUAGCUAUUCGACCACUUUUUCCUUCCCUUUAUCGGAUUUAGUUCCCCUUUGCUCUUGAGCUUAAUUAAACAAAUAAAUUGAUUUAAUCAUUUGAGCAUCGAAAAGAGGAACACAAGGCACUUAGCCCAUAUUUAUACAUUAGACAUUAAAGUCACAUAUGUACGGAAAUCAUGAAUCAAACUCAACAUUUUAGCUAAUUUUCCCCCUUGGCCGAAUUUUCUAAGCCAAGACAAAAGCAUCAAUAUGCUUGCCUCUAACCGAAUACAUGCAACACCAAUCUCCUUCCUAUGGCCGAAUAUGCAUGUCUAUGUUGGGGCCGAUUGCAACACUUAAUACAUUCUACAAGUAUGGUCACUUGUAUUGACUAAACACCAUUUUGUUUCAAGUUCAAAACUUGGCUAAUACACACAUAUAUACACUAGUAAAGCAUCCUCUCCAUUUCCAUCAAUUUAACACAUGCAUUACUCAUUAAUAUACAAAAAUUAUAUUCGGCCUUAGCACACAACUUGCUAGCCGAUUCUUCUCCAUCUAGCAACCAAUGCACAUAUGUGCUCACUCAAAAAUGCUAAAAAGAAGAUUCAAGAAUCAUCAAUCCACCAUCACAUGCAUCAUUAACAAGCUUCAUAUUUAGCAUGCAAUGGCAUUAACAAAAAAUCCACCUAGGCCAAAUAUCAUCCCCAUGACAUAGCAAAGAUUUGAACCAUGGGCUAAUUAGAACUCAAGCUAGCAACUAAAAACAUGCAUGAAUCUCAUGGCACAACCUCAAACUUACCUUGAUCUAGAUACAAGUAUGGCCAAACCUCCUCCUAAUCCUCUUCCAAACCAAACAUGAAGCAAGAACUCCUUCCUCCUUCCUUAGAAUUUCCGGCCAAAAGAAGAUGAAAAAAAGAUGAACAAAAUUUUUUCUUUUCUUUUCUUUUACUCACGGCAAUGGGGGGGGAAACAACCACACACCUUUUUUUUUUGUUUUCAUCAUAUUUCCUUUCAUUAUUUUAUGCCCAUGCUCCUUAUUUUAUUGUUUCCACCCAUGAUGCACCAACACAACAUGUCUAUGACAUGUCUUGCCCAUCACACUUGGUCUACCAUGCUUGUCAUGGCCGGCCACUACUAAUAGAGGGGGGAAAUUGACAUGCAAGUCCCCCCUUUUUUUUCAACAUGCACUAAUAGGUCCUUAUGCUUUGACCUAUCACAUUUCAAAAUUUUCUCACAUAAGUCCUAUUUACUAAAACUCACAUGCAAUCGACUAAAUCGAAGCUUGAAAUUUUCACACAUUCAUAAUUACAUAUUCUAGACCAUAAAUAUCACAUUUGAACUUUUCGGUGACUCGGUUUAGCGGUCCCGAAACCACUUCCCGACUAGGGUCAAUUUUGGGCUGUCACAACUCUCCCCCACUUAAGAAAUUUUCGUCCCCAAAAAUCUUACCGGUAAAUAAGUUUGGGUAUCGUUCUUUCAUCGAGCUCUCGGUUUCCCAAGUAGCUUCCUCGAUCCCAUGUUUGAGACAUAACACCUUUACUAGCGGAACCCUUUUGUUUCGCAACUCCUUCACUUCACGAGCUAGGAUACGCAUUGGUUCUUCUUCAUAACUCAUAUCGGCUUGAAUUUCAACCUCUGAUGGGCUAAUUAUGUGCGAUGGAUCAAAUCUAUAGCGUCGAAGCAUCGAAAUAUGAAAGACAUCGUGAAUCUUUUCAAGUUCAGGGGGCAAAAUCAAUCUAUACGCAACCGGACCAACUCGUUCGGAGAUUUCGUACGGCCCAAUGAAUCUCGGGCUCAACUUGCCCUUACGGCCAAAUCUGAGUACCUUUUUCCAAGGCGAAACUUUAAGAAACACUUUAUCUCCCACCUGAUAUUCAAUGUCUUUUCGUUUCAAAUCCGCAUACGAUUUUUGACGAUCUGUGGCUGCCUUCAGACUUUCACGGAUUACCUUUACUUUCUGUUCGGCAUCUUUAAUCAAAUCAACUCCAAAAAUUUUACUUUCACCGAGCUCGGUCUAAAACAAUGGUGUACGGCAUUUACGACCGUACAAAGCCUCGUAAGGUGCCAUCUUAAUACUUGUUUGAAAACUAUUGUUGUAAGCGAAUUCAAUCAAAGGUAAAAACCGUUCCCAUGAACUACUGAACUCGAGGAUGCAACAUCUCAACAUAUCCUCAAGUAUCUGAAUUAUCCGCUCGGAUUGACCAUCGGUUUGGGGGUGAAAAGCAGUGCUAAAAUGCAGCUUGGUACCCAAAGCUUCUUGCAAUUUCUUCCAAAAUCGUGAGGUGAAUCUCGGAUCUCUAUCCGACACGAUAGAAAUAGGUACCCCGUGUAAUCUCACAAUCUGAGAAACGUACAAUUCAGCUAGUUUAUCCAAUGAAAAAUCCGUACGCACGGGGAUAAAGUGAGCCGACUUAUUCAGUCUAUCGACAACAACCCAAAUCGCAUCUUUCUUACUUGCUGACAAUGGCAGUCCGGACACAAAGUCCAUUGUGACUCGAUCCCAUUUCCACUCAAGUAUCAUGAUCGGCUGAAGUAAUCCUGAAGGCACUUGAUGUUCCGCUUUCACUUGUUGACAUAUUAAACAUCUCGAAACAAAGUCGGAGAUGUCUCGUUUCAUACCAUGCCACCAAAACCAACGUUUCAAAUCGUUGUACAUUUUCGUACUCCCCGAGUGAAUUGACAUUCGACUACAAUGGGCUUCGUUCAGAAUCAUCGAAAUGAGUUCCGAAUUCCUUGGAACACACAAACGACUUCUGAACCUCAAACAAUCAUCAUCAUCAAUUUGAAACUCCGAUUCCUUGUUCGGAACACACUCAGCCCGUUUUGCAACCAAUUCAUCAUCAACUUUCUGGGCUUCACGAAUUUGAUGAAUCAAUAAUGGUUUGGCUUUUAAUUCAGCUACUAACACAUUGUCGGGUAGAACAGACAAGUGCACAUUCAUCGCUCGUAAAGCAAACAAUGAUUUCCGGCUUAAGGCGUCCGCAACCACAUUAGCCUUUCCCGGGUGGUAACCAAUGACAAGCUCGUAAUCUUUCAACAACUCAAGCCAACGUCUUUGUUGCAGAUUUAAGUCUCUUUGAGUCAUCAAAUAUUUGAGACUUUUGUGAUCCAAAAAUACAUGGCACUUUUCACCAAAUAAGUAAUGUCGCCAUAUUUUUAAAGCAAAUACGAUGGCAGCUAGUUCAAGAUCAUGGGUCGGAUAAUUUUUCUCAUGUGGCUUUAAUUGUCUCGACGCAUAGGCCACCACUCGACCUUCUUGCAUCAAUACGCAACCCAACCCAAGUAGGGAUGCGUCACUAUAAAUGACAAACUCUUUGCCUGAUUCGGGUUGCACUAAAAUUGGAGCUUCAGUCAAAUAAGUUUUCAGUUGAUCGAAACUUUUCUGACAUUUCUCCGUCCAUUCGAACUUAACAUCCUUUUGAAGUAGCUUCAUCAUUGGUGUGGCUAUCAUCGAGAAACCUUUGACAAAUCGUCGGUAAUAACUGGCGAGUCCCAAAAAGCUCCGAACCUCAGUAAUAUUUCUCGGAGGUUUCCAGUUAAGUAUGGCUGAAAUUUUGUUCGGGUCAACUCGAAUACCCGAUGCGGAUACCACAUGACCCAAGAAACUAACCUCUCUUAACCAGAACUCACACUUACUGAACUUAGCAUAUAACAGCUUAUCCCGCAAAAUUUGCAACACUAGUCUCAGGUGCUCAGCAUGUUCGGUCUCAUCUCUUGAAUAGACCAAGAUGUCAUCAAUGAACACAACUACGAAACGAUCCAAAUAUGGUCUGAAGAUCCGAUUCAUCAAAUCCAUAAAUACCGCAGGGGCAUUAGUGAGGCCAAACGGCAUCACUAAGAAUUCGUAGUGACCAUAUCUCGUUCUGAAGGCAGUUUUGGGUAUGUCCGAAUCUCGAAUUCGCAACUGAUAAUAGCCCGAUCUCAAAUCUAUUUUUGAGAACACUGAGGCUCCUUUUAGUUGAUCAAACAAAUCAUCAAUACGCGGUAACGGAUAUUUAUUCUUUAUCGUCACUUUAUUCAGCUGACGAUAGUCAAUGCACAACCUCAUGGUUCCGUCCUUCUUUUUCACGAACAAUACUGGUGCACCCCAAGGUGAGAAACUUGGUCGAGCGAAACCUCCAUCCGUCAAUUCUUGCAACUGAGCUUUCAACUCUUUUAACUCGGUUGGUGCCAUACGAUACGGAGCUAUCUAAAUCGGCGUAGUCCCAGGUACAAGCUCAAUACCAAACUCUAUCUCCCGAACAGGUGGUAAACCCGGUAAUUCUUCAGGAAAAACAUCCGGGUAUUCACAAACCACCGGCACAGAUUCGGGUUUCUUUUCUAAUUCUUUGUCAUCAAGUACAUACGCAAGGUAUGCUUCGCACCCUUUUCUUACAUAUUUCUGGGCCAACAUUGAGGAUAUUACAGCUGGCAACCCCUUUAAGUCCGUAGACUCAACUCGGAUUAUCUCGCCAUUUGCGCACCUCAAAUCAAUAGUCUUGCUUUUGCAAUUCACAACCGCAUCAUGCGCGGUCAACCAAUCCAAACCAAGAAUAACAUCAAAUUCAUCAAACGGCAAAAGCAUCAAGUCCGCCGAAAAACAGGAACCUCGAAUUACUAAGGGACAUUUCUUGCACACUUUGUCGACCAGCACGUAACGACCCAAGGGAUUUGGCACCCGAAUUACGAACUCAGUAGACUCAAUAGGUAAAGUCUUACUGGAUGCUAAGGUUUCACAUAUGUAAGAAUGAGUAGAACCGGGGUCAAUCAAAGCAAUUACAUUAGUAUCAAAGAGAGUAAAAGUACCGGUAAUAACAUCAGGCGAAGAAGCAUCCUCACGGGCACGUAUAGCAUAAGCUCUAGCAGGCGCACGAGCCUCGGAUCUGGUCGUAGCAUCUCUAGAUCCUCUCUGACCACCACUAGCAUUGCCCGUAUUUCCAGAUGGUCUACCUCGAGCAGUGGUAGCACCCGGUUUUCCACUCUGAUUUACAUUCUGUUCAGACAACCUCGGGCAAUCUUUAAUGAAGUGGUCAACUGAUCCGCACUUGUAACAGGAGCGGUCAGGGAAUCUACAACUCCCCGAAUGCCAUUUACCGUAAUAUCGACAUUUCGUUCUGUCUCGACGUUCAUUCCCAACACUAGCGACCGAAGUGCCUCUAGACCGGCCCACAUCAUCUCGAAAUUUCUUCGAUGCCUGUUGAAGAGACUUUCCCGAGGAUCUUUUACGAAACUCUCCAGUUCCCACAUCAACUUUUUGUUUUUCUUUUCUAAGCUCUUCGGCUUUACAAGCUCGCUCGACAAGUACUACGAACUCUCGUAUUUCAAGAAUGCCAACGAACAUUUUUAUAUCUUCAUUCAGCCCAUCCUCGAAGCAUUUACACAUGAUAGCCUCGGACGAAACACAUUCCCGAGCGUAUCUACUAAGUCUAACAAAUUUUCGCUCGUAAUCAGUUACUGACAUAGAACCUUGCUUAAGCUCAAGAAAUUCCUUCCGUUUUUGAUCAACAAAUCUCUGACUGAUAUACUUUUUCCGAAACUCAGUUUGGAAAAACUCCCAAGUUACUUGCUCUCGGGGCACAACAGAAGUCAGAGUACUCCACCAAUAAUAGGCAGAAUCGCGUAGCAAGGAGAUAGUACACUUUAGGCAUUCAUCGGGUGUACAAGAGAGCUCAUCGAGUACCCGGAUAGUGUUGUCCAACCAAAAUUCAGCUUGCUAGGCAUCGUCGCUAUCCGUAGCUUUAAAUUCAGUAGCCCCAUGUUUUCAGAUUCUGUCAACUGGGGGCUUAUUUGACCUUAUUUGGUCAGUUACCGGAGGUAUUGUAGGUGCGGGGGUGGUAUUUGUCGGGAAUGGAGGUUGUGGAACAGCCGUAUUAGUUCGAAUGUAUUGGUUGAACCAAUCAUUCAUCACGCUAUAGAAAGCUUGUCUAGCUUCAUCAUUCGGGUUACUAGCAUUAGGUUGAGAGUCCGCCGGCGCUGUCCCUUGUGCGGGAGCAGGCGCUACACUCUCAAGAUCAUCAGCUACCGCUCAGUCGGGAUCGGGAUCCAUUACUAUAAAUAAACACAUUUACAAUUGUCAGAAAUCACCACACUAUCAAAUAAUCACAUAAAAUGGCAUGUAUAGCUAGACCCAACGCAUUACGGUAGUCCUAGAAUCGACUAAACCGUAGCUCUGAUACCAAUCAAAUGUAACACCCCGAACCCGAAACCGUCACCGGAGUCGAACACGAGGUGUUAACAGACUUUAAACCACUUAUAAAAAAAUUUCCCAGACACUGCCAAUCUGCGUACUAGUCGCUUUAAAAAUCAUAUCUUGAGUUCAAAAACUCGGAAUCCAGUUCCGUAAAUUUUUCCUGAAACUAGACUCAUAUGCCCAUCUACAUUUUUUUUCUAGAAUUUUUUGUUAGGCCAAUUAGAACAUUUUAUUAUUCAAAGUAUACCAUGUUACAGGGAUCGACUACACUGACCUUUGCGCAUUACGACUUGGAUAUCUCCCUGUACAGGGCUUCAAUACUGAUUUCGUUUGUUUCUAUAGAAACUAGACUCAAAGAGGAAUCUAUAAAUAUAUGGAAUGACUCCUAAUUAUCUCUUGUUAAUUUAUAAUGAAUUUCCAAAGUCGAAACAGGGAAUCCAGAAACCGUUCUGGCCCUGUCUUACGAGAACCUGAAUAUCUCUUAACAUACUUCCCAUAUGAUCGUUUUGUUACUUUCCUAUGAAAAUAGAUUCAUCAAGGUUCGUUUACAUAAUUUAUUCACUAUUUCAUUCCAUUCCUACUAUUUUUAGUGAUUUUCCAAAUCUACAUCACUGCUGCUGUCAGCAUCUGCCUUUAAGGUAGACUUUACCUAUUUCAUAGUUUCCAUGAUUCAACUAGCCCUUUUAGCAUAAAUAGCACAAAUUAUGAUAGUGAUUAACCAUUCCCAUGGCCAAUCCUUGUUAAGCACAGCCACACCAAAUGAUGAUAACAUUAUGCUCAAACAUAUAUAAGCCAUUUUCGCAUGGCUAUCCAAAAUUAUACAAGUCCAAAGGGUCCAUGACCCACAACAAACGGGUAGUCCUAUACAUGCCAUUUUGAAGUUCAACCAAAUUUGUACCAAAAGGGGGGCUUUGAUAGUGUGGACGACUUCGACUUCAAAAUCCCGAGUCCGAUAGCUAGAGAACCAAAAUCUAUAAAACAGAGAAUCAAGGAGACGGAGUAAGCAAUUUAUGCUUAGUAAGUUUUGAGCAAGGGAUUCCAGCACAACAAAAGUAUAGCAUUCAUGUAGCUAAACGGAUAAUUUCAUAUGCACAAUUUUUCAAUAUCAUACUUACUUCAUAUUACCAACCCUUUUAUUCAUACACAAAGAUCAACUUAGCCAAAGGCCGGUAGCUCAUUUAUCAACUGAGCGAAUACUUAUUUGUAAGGGCUCAACUAAUUCAAAGCACAUACGAAACAUACCUCAAUGUUGGGAUGUUUCAAGCGUAUUAACUGAAAUUUUUACAGCAAGAUCAUUCAUUCCCAAAUCACGUACCUUCGGAAUUUAACCGGAUAUAGCUACUCGUUCAAAUGCCUUCGGGACAUAGCCCGGUUAUAGUAACUCGCACAAAUGCCUUCGGGACUUAACCCGGAUUUAAUAACUCGCACAAAUGCCUUCGGGCUUAGCCCGGAAUUAGUAUCUCGCACAAAUGCCUUCGGAUCUUAGUCUGGAUUUAGUAUCUCGCACAAAUGCCUUCGGAUCUUAGUCCGGAUAUGGUCACUUAGCACAAAGCCUUCGGGACUUAGCCCGGGCAUCAUUCAAAUAACCAUGCACAUUUAACAAUAAAUCAUGGCACAUUCGUAUUUCAUUUUCGUUAGCAAAACUCAAACACAAGACUCUUAUCAUUCUUGCAAUUUCGGCUCAAUAGCCACACACAAAGAGCAAUAUUUUAAUUUACUUAAAACAUGAUCUAAUCAAAUCAUAAUUUAAGCUCUUUUACUCAAGAACUUACCUCGGAUGUUGUCGAACGAUUCCGAUAGCUAUUCGACCACUUUUUCCUUCCCUUUAUUGGAUUUAGUUCCCCUUUGCUCUUGAGCUUAAUUAAACAAAUAAAUUGAUUUAAUCAUUUGAGCAUCGAAAAGAGGAACACAAGGCACUUAGCCCAUAUUUAUACAUUAGACAUUAAAGUCACAUAUGUACGGAAAUCAUGAAUCAAACUCAACAUUUUAGCUAAUUUUCCCCCUUGGCCGAAUUUUCUAAGCCAAGACAAAAGCAUCAAUAUGCUUGCCUCUAACCGAAUACAUGCAACACCAAUCUCCUUCCUAUGGCCGAAUAUGCAUGUCUAUGUUGGGGCCGAUUGCAACACUUAAUACAUUCUACAAGCAUGGUCACUUGUAUUGACUAAACACCAUUUUGUUUCAAGUUCAAAACUUGGCUAAUACACACAUAUAUACACUAGUAAAGCAUCCUCUCCCUUUCCAUCAAUUUAACACAUGCAUUACUCAUUAAUAUACAAAAAUUAUAUUCGGCCUUAGCACACAACUUGCUAGCCGAUUCUUCUCCAUCUAGCAACCAAUGCACAUAUGUGCUCACUCAAAAAUGCUAAAAAGAAGAUUCAAGAAUCAUCAAUCCACCAUCACAUGCAUCAUUAACAAGCUUCAUAUUUAGCAUGCAAUGGCAUUAACACAAAAUCCACCUAGGCCAAAUAUCAUCCCCAUGACAUAGCAAAGAUUUGAACCAUGGGCUAAUUAGAACUCAAGCUAGCAACUAAAAACAUGCAUGAAUCUCAUGGCACAACCUCAAACUUACCUUGAUCUAGAUACAAGUAUGGCCAAACCUCCUCCUAAUCCUCUUCCAAACCAAACAUGAAGCAAGAACUCCUUCCUCAUUCCUUAGAAUUUUCGGCCAAAAGAAGAUGAAAAAAAGAUGAACAAAAUUUUUUCUUUUAUUUUCUUUUACUCACGGCAAUGGGGGGAAACAACCACACACCUUUUUUUUUGUUUUCAUCAUAUUUCCUUUCAUUAUUUUAUGCCCAUGCUCCUUAUUUUAUUGUUUCCACCCAUGAUGCACCAACACAACAUGUCUAUGUCAUGUCUUGCCCAUCACACUUGGUCUACCAUGCUUGUCAUGGCCGACCACUACUAAUAGAGGGGGGAAAUUGACAUGCAAGUCCCCCCUUUUUUUUCAACAUGCACUAAUAGGUCCUUAUGCUUUGACCUAUCACAUUUCAAAAUUUUCUCACAUAAGUCCUAUUUACUAAAACUCACAUGCAAUCGACUAAAUCGAAGCUUGAAAUUUUCACACAUUCAUAAUUACAUAUUCUAGACCAUAAAUAUCACAUUCGAACUUUUCGGUGACUCGAUUUAGCGGUCCCGAAACCACUUCCCGACUAGGGUCAAUUUUGGGCUGUCACAUAUAUGCUUCUUCUAUUAAUAAAGAGACAGCACAUCUCAGAUAAUCAUCCAGAGAACAAGCCAUUUGUUUAAAAACUCUUACCAAACUUUGUAGCCAAUACUCAACUUUUACAGGGUCAUUAUCUGAUCUACCUCAAAAUUCUUCAGCUCCAAACUUCCUAAGCUUUCCAAUCAGAGAACGCUUACUAGAUUCAGUUUUCGAAGGAGGUGGAGGAGCAACCGGGGGUGCCACAAGUGGUGCAGUAGGGGGAGGAGGUUGUUGAGUUUGAGUUCUUCCUUGCAUUAGAUCAGUAAACCACUAAUUCAUCACUCCGUAUAUCAUAUUUUUAAGAUCUUGUUCUUGAACUAGAUAGAUUGAAACAUUACUGCUUGUUCCUUGUUUAGAGGUCUGUACUAUACUGUUAGCAUCUUCCUGUUCAGCAUGUUCAAGUCUAUCUGACAUCUUUAUAAUCUAUAAAAAUAACAAGAAUCAGAUCAGAUUAUACACAUCACACUAUCACAAAUUUAUAUGGCAUGUAUUUCCGAACAAUUUACUCAUUACAUUCAUUUCGAGAAUUGGCUAAACCGAAGCUCUGAUACCAAAAAAUGUAACACCCCUUACCCGAGACCGUUGCCGGAGUCGAGCACGAGGCAUUACCUGAUUUAACUUACUAGUUCAGAGUAUAAAAAUUUACUUUUAAAAUUAAUUCACUCACGUUUAUUCAAUAUGUCUCUAAAAACGAAUAUCAAAACCCUAAAUCAUGCAAUAAAAACGGUUCAGGUCCAAACCGAGAAUAUUAAAAUUUUUUCGAAUACUUAAUCAAAUUAAAACAAUUCAUUUGCCUCUUCACAAUAAACCUGUCCACCUGCGCAAUAGUCACUAAUUUAAUUAUAACUCGAGUUACGAAACUCAAAAUUUAGAUCCGUAAAUUUUUCCUAAAACUAGACUUAUAUAUUUUCUUACCAUAAAAUUUUCAGAAUUUUUUGCUUUAGCCAAUUAGUAUAGUUUAUUCAUUAAAUUUUUCCCUAUUUUACUAUUCAACAGCUCUGACCCCUCUUCACUAAAAAUUAAUUAUCUCAAUGUACAAAAUUCGAAUAACAUUCUCGUUUGUUUCUAUUGAAAAUAGACUCACUAAAAAAAAUCUAAACAUAUAAAUUAUAAAUCCAAAUCCUUUUUUUACAAUUUUUAAUGAUUUUCUAAAUUCAGAACAGGGGAUUUCAAAAACUAUUUUGAUCAUGUCUCUCUAAAAUUCAAAUAUCUAAAAAUAUAAAACUCUUUUGCUUACUCUAUUUCUUUCAUAUGAAAAUAGACUCAUGUAGCUUUAAUUCUAUAUCGUAUUCACUCUCUAAUUCAAUUUCCACUAUUUUUGGUGAUUUUUCAAAAUCACAUCAAUACUGCUGUUCAAAAACUGUUCCAUUGCAAAUUUUUACUCUUUUAUAAUUUCUUGCUUACACAACACAAAUCGCGUUCUUAUGUAACCAAUUCAAUAGUUAAUUCAUUAUCAAAAAUUUACUUGCUACUCCUUAGCCAUAUCAUAAGAAUACACACAAAACGACCAAGUCCUAAUACAUGCCAUAUAAAUCAAAAAGUUGUUUAAGAAAAUCUACCGGAUUAAAUCUAGAUAGUGUGAUCGUUGAUGUAGAUCCGAUCCUCCGAACAUAUAUACAUCAAUUUACAAGAAACAAUAAACACACACAAGUACGCUUGCAGAAAGCUUAGUAAGUUCAUAGGCUCAUAAUAAAAUCUUACCAAAAUUUCACUAACAAUAUUAAUAAACAAAUAAAAAUUCAACAUUUCCUGCCAACUACAAUCUCAAACAAUGAAUUUACUCAAUCAAACUCAAUAUCAGAUGUCAACUUAUAUUCCAACAUUUAGCUUCAAUUACAUUUUUAAAUACUUUUCAAAUUAAGGAUCGUCUUACGGAUUUAAGUAUAUCGUUUGCCUAGUGCCACGAUUUGCUUGAAUCUUUUUCAAUAUUAUAACUCAGUAUGGUUUCCUUCACUGAAAUAUCAUACCUACUUUUCACAACUAAAUAUGGUUUUUCUCAUUGAAACACCAUACCUACUUUUCACAACUCAAUAUGAUUUUCUUCACUGAAACACCAUACCUACUUUUCACAAUUUGCCAUGAAUUCAACAUGGACUUAUUCGUCAAGUCAUCACUGAUUUCGGAACGCAUGUACUCAAUCCUUCGUAUCCCUUAAUUUGAACUAAUAAUCUCAUUUUUUUUCAUUUUUACAAUAAUCAUAACAAUAUACAGAUUGAUACAAUGUCAUUCCCACAUUAACAAUUAAUUAUAAAAGUCCAGCCGUAUGAACUUAUCUGGGCCAAUUUGUAGGAGUUAUAAAAGUUGAGACUAAUUUGAUACUUUCUCUUUUCCGCAUUUAUCUUCGGAUUCCCAAUAUGGUAUAAAAAUAUGAGAAACCAGCUUGUUUCAGACCUCCUAUGGCGUUUUUACUGAUAAAUUAUGAAAUCUCUAGAUUUUUCACUAUUGUCUUUGUUUUAUAUAUUUAAUUUGUAAAGUUUUCAAUUUUGCCCUUGUUUCUCCUUACUUUCUUGCUGAUUUUUCUUGCCCAACCGUCCAGCCCAUAUAAUUUGGGCCUAAUUGCCUUUUAAAUCCCUCCUUAUUAUUCAUUUAAGCUAUUUAAUCACAAUUUAACAAAUUUUGGACUAUUUUCAAUUUAAUCCUUUUUAAUUAAUUGACUAUCCAAACGCUAAAUUUUUCUAACGAAACUUUUAUACUAACUCGAUAACACUCCAUAAAUAUUUAUAAAAAUAUUUAUGACUCGGCUUAUGAAUUUGAGGUCUCGAUACCUCGUUUUAGACCAAUUUACCUAUUAAAUUCUUUUUAAAUCACAAAAUUCACUAAUUCAAAAUUUUUUCUAAAUUCACACUUGACCCAUAAUUAUUAAUUUAUUAAAUUUUAAAACUCACAGGUCAGAUUUAGUAAUCUCGAACCCCUAUUUUUGACACCACUAAAAAUUAAGCUGUUACACUUGAAGACUUGUUCAAGUCGCAUUCAAACCCCUCUAUAAUUGGUGGCUUUAUAAAUUUACCCCAAGCCUAAAUUAGCAAAGUUGAAACUAUCAACCUUGCCACAUGUAUGGCCGGCCAAGGGAGGGCUCUUUGGUUGAUAAUUUUAACUCUUUUUAGCAGCCCUUUUUAGCUAUAAAAACCUCAUUAGGUUGGUCAUUUGAAAAACACACCUCAAGCAUUCACAUCUUUCCUUUCUUCUCUCCACUUUCUCUCUGCUUUUUCAUUCCAAAAUUCCCUUGCUCUCUUGGCGAUUUCUCCUAUUGAGAAAGGGGCAUUUAUUAGCUAUUUGGAGCAACAAUUAAGUGUUCAUAGAAGCCUUGGUCGACAAGGAUAACGGAGAAAGACAGAGCAACUAGUUAAGCCACAGAAAAACACUGAAUUUGAUUCUUUUUCCCUAUCUCUUUAAUUUCUGUUGUUGUUAUGCUAAGCAUAUCUAUAAAUAUUUAUGUUGUUGAAAUGGUUAAUUUAAUCAAUUUAGCUUGAAUUUAAUUCAUGUUAGGUUGAUUGCAUUUUGUUUGUUAAAAUUAUUGAAAUUGUGUUUAUGUUGUUAUAGGCCUCUAUAAGAUGCUUGAUUAAGUAAAAUCAUGACUAAGUUAUUCUUGCAUUACAAUUGUUAGGUAACUAAUGAAUUAAUUAUUUAAACGGAUUGAAAUUGUAAUUAAUGGACACAGUACUUAAUCAGUGCAUGUUUAAUCAUCUAAGGUAGCUGAGAGUUAGAUUAGCAACGGUAUCUGACGAUACAUUUGCCUUGCAUAACUUGCAAGAUUAUUGUGAUUAAACUUUUUCAAGGUAAGGAUACUUUGUUACCUCAUAUAGUCUUUUAUGUGCUUAUUAAAUCGAGUUAUUUUUUUGAAUUGACAUAGGUAUAUGUACAAGAGAUUAUUUUGAUUUAAUAAGUACGUAUGUGCAACAAUAUAUUUUCCUAUUAAGAUUUGUUUAAUCGGUUGAAUUGACAUAAGGAUAUAGUCAAAAGAUAAAUGGAUUUUGGUACGUGAGUAUGUUCAUAAGUUAGCAAAUUACUGAGUUGCCGUGAACUUAUUUGUAACAAUAUAAACAUGAGUUUAAUAAAUCCUAAGUUAAGAAAUGUAAUUAAUCUAACACAAUUAUGUUAUCUUGAUUAAAAUCGUAGUUUGAAAUCGUGCAUUUGAGAUUUAUUUAUUUAGUUCACUUAGUUUAAAAUCUUAGUUUUUAGUCACCCUCUUCAAAUAAAAUAUUUUUCUUUACCAAAGUGUUUUAAAUAGUAUUCAUAAAUAAUUCUUUUCACAGUCCCUGUGGGUACGAUAACUCGACAUUUAUUUGUCACUUUAUUACUUGUUGCGAUUGUGUACACUUGCACAUUUCCGUCGUUCCAGGAUGCUUUCUAACUACUAGUGUGGUCCAUUUCCCAGCCAUGAGAAAUACAAUGGAAAACAUCUGGAACCCUUUGAAGGGUGUGCAAAUCUCGAAUUUGGGUGAAAAACGUUUUCUAUUAAAAUUCUUUAACGAAUUGGAUAUUAAUCGGGUAAUUACAGGUGCUCCUUGGACUUUCAAUAAUCACUUGUUGAUUAUCCAUAAGAUUCAAAAGAAUGAAGAUCUGAUGUCUAUUCCAUUAGUGUACUCAGGCUGGUGGGUUCAGAUUCAUGAUUUGCCAUUGGGGUUUUUUUAGAGAUUCCAUGGCGGCACAAUUUGGAAAUUUCAUUGGAAAAUAUCUGGAAUAUGAUAUGAAAUAGUUAUCCAACAGCUACAAAAAUUAUCUACGCAUCGGAGUCCAGAUUAAUGUCCGAAAGCCUCUGAAAAGAAGAAAGAAAACUAUGAUCUCCAACUCAAAUUUUACUUAUGCAAAGUUCAAAUAUGAAAAAUUAACUUUGUUUUGUUUCUUAUGUAGCUGCCUAGGCCAUGGAGAGAAUUUCUGCCCAAUGAGAUUAAAACAUGAGAUGCAGGAAAUGGAAAUGGGUUGGGACUUGUCAUUGCAGGCUCAGCCACAGAAGGCUACUACAGUAAACAACAUUUAGCUAAGGGAGGAGGGAGAGGAUGAUUUUUUUAGGAAGACACAUUUUGGGCAGUAAUUUGGCCAAAACUUAAGGCACAAUCAGGGGAGAGAAUCGUGGGCUAAUGUUAAUCCAAUUCUUGGAAUUAAUUUAGAAGGCACCAAAUUAUAGAUGAUUUGAUUGGUCAACAAAAAGGGUAGGAAUCAUGCCACAAUGUUGGGAAAGAUUGGGUGGUAAGCAAAAGCCAACAGAUAGGGUUUAAUUCGAAUGGUGAUAAAUUAAGGAAAGAUCCGAUUGUGGUAGGCCCUUCUAAUAGGUUGAUUUGAUGAUUAUGGAUUGUGACUUAGAAGAUGAUCCAAUUGUUAAUAAGGAAAAAGAGACAGGUUUGAUUAUUUGAUCUCUAAUGUUUCUACUAUUCAAGAUUCAUUAGAGAUUAUUCAUAGGCAUUCUGCUCUUUCUCAACAAAUGUCGAUGGCUGCUAGUGGGUAAGCCGACCGAAAGAAAUGAAAAUAUUUUACUAGAAUGUUCGUGGAUUUGGGAGUCUGCGAGUAGUUAGAAGACUUCAGCAUAUGUUGAAAAUUUAUCAUCCCCAAUUUGUCUUAUUUAUGGAGACAAUUGAAUACAAACAAAAUGGAGAACAUUAGGAGACUAUGUGGUUUCUUUAACGGUGUUGACGCUCCUGUUGAUGGUACAUGUGGGGAUUUAAGCAUAGGAUGGAAUGGGGGACAUUUAGUUACUCUUACAAGCCUCUCAAAAAAUCAUAUUGAUGUUAAAAUUCAAGAAGCAGAGGAAAGUCCACGAUGAAGGUUUACAGGUUUUUAAGGGGCACCGGAUGUAAGGGAUUAAUCAGCGACGUAGGACUUACUUUGACAUUUGGGGAGAAAUAAUACACUACCAUGGUUGGUUAGUGGUGACUUCAAUGAUAUUCUCUUUGCGCAUGAAAAACAAGGAGGGUUGUUAAGGGAGGAGGCUAGAAUGGAGGUAUUUUGUAGAACUUUGGAUGAAUGUCAAUUGGGAGACAUUGGAUUUUCUAGGACGUGGUUUACAUGAGAGAGAGGACGCAUAAUGGAAAAAAAAUUAGAGAAAGAAUCGAUAAAGGGGUUACUACUGAUACAUGGUUACUACUUUUCCCAGCUUACUCAUUGAGGUAUCUACCUCAUUCUUUCUUAGAUCAUUGUCCUUUGCUUAUUAAUACGGAGGCUGAAGAAAUGGGUAAAAAAACUGGAAGGUUUCAUUUUGAAGGUUGGUGGGUUUUAAAAGAGUCAUGUGAGGAAGAGAUAAGAAUAUUGUGGGAAGAAAGCUCAGGUUCUUUUUAAAAUCGCAUUUCAGCUCUCACUAUUGGUUUGCAAAAUUGGGUAGGUAAAAUUAAGCACAAAAGAGGAUGAAAUGUGAAAUGAUUAACAAGGACUUGAAGAGUUGAAUAGUUAUGAUAGAUUGGAAGAGACUUUGGUUGAGCUUGUUGAUGUCAAACUACAUCUGAAUAUGGAGAUGGAUAAAGAGGAGAGGUAUUGGAAACAACGAGCGAGAGUGGAUUGGCUAAAAAAGGGAGUUAAUAACACCUCAUUUUUCCACAAUUAUGCUUCUCAGUGACAACGUAUUUAUCAUAUUCGAGGAUUACAAAAGAAUGAUGGUUCUCUAGCUAUGGGUCGUAUUGAGAUUGGGAAUAUUGCUCGUGACUAUUUUACUGACUUGUUUGCUUCUAGAGGGUUGGCAAUUUGGAUCAUAUCCUAUCGAGGGUACCUUAUUGUGUUUCAGAAAGUAUGAAUCAAAGUUUGAUGGCUACAUACACAGAGGGAAAAAUUGUUAAGGCAUUAAAAGGAAUGGGUCCUAUAAAAGCUUCAGUUUUAGAUGGAUUUUUGGCAUUAUUUUAUCAAAAGUAUCGGCAUAUUAUUGGUAAAGAUACUAGUGCUUUCUGUUUGGAUAUUUUGAAUAAUGGAAAAUCUUUGGAAGAACUAAACAAAACUCACUUAGUUUUAAUUCCAAAAAUUGCAAAUCCUCUUAAUCUGAAAAGCUUUCUUCCUAUUAGUCUUUGCACGAUUAUCUGUAAGAUUAUUGCCAAGACAAUUGCCAAUUUAAUACAAAAAGUUAUGAAUGUUUUAUUGAUGAUUCUUAGAGCGUUUUUGUACCGGGUAGACUCAUAAUUGACGUGUUACUGGCAUAUGAGGUGCUUCAUUCUUUCAAGAAUAAAAUAUUAGGGCGAAAAGGCUUCAUGGCUCUAUGAGGAAGGAUUAUGAUCACGUUGAAGGCCUUUCCUUAAAAGUAUGAUGUCAAAAAUCGAUUUUGCUUGUCCUUUUAUUGAUUUUAUUCUCCAUUGUAUUAGUACAGUUCGAUAUUCAAUUUUACUAAAUGGAGAAUGAGUAAGUUUGAAACCAUUUAGAGGACUUCGACAAGGAGACCCCUUAAGCCCUUACUUAUUUCUGUUCUGUGGAGAAGGGUUAUCUUCACUAAUGAGAUUAGAUUAGCAAGUCAGGAGAGAAAAAACUUAGGAGAAAAUGUUUGUAAAUCUGCUCCACGCAAAUGAUUGUAUACUGUUUGGUGAGGUUUUGGAAAGGAGGAUUAAUGUGCUUAAAAAUAUUUUAAGUGAAUAUGAAUCUUGCUCAGGACAAUAUGUGAAAUUUGACAAAUCCACAACUUUUUUCAAUACAAAUGUGAGUGAUCAAGGUAAGAACUUGGCUUUCUAGGUACUCAAUGUUCGUUAUUCGAAAGAUCUAGAAAAAUACUUAGGAUUACCGAAUAUGGUGGGUCGAAGAAGGAAAAUGGCACUCCAAGGUUUGAAAGACAAAUUGAAGCAAAAGAUAAAUAGCUAGAGUCUAAGACAAGGUGGAAAAGAGGUAUUUAUCAAAACUAUUUUGCAAACAAUACCUACAUACAAGAUGUUUUGCUUUCUUUUGCAAAAAUAUUUUUGUAUGGAAAUGGAGAACAUAAUAGAGUCUUUCUAAUGGAAAAAAAAGUCACGGGAAAAGAGCAUGCACUGGUGUGAUUAGAUGUCUUUGUGUGCGCUUAAGGAAGAGGGUGGUAUGUGAUUUCGUAAUUUGUCUUUUUUAACGUUGUAUUAUUGGCCAAACAUGGUUAUCAUUUGUUACGUAAUCCUAAUUCUUUACUAGCACGAACUUUGAAAGCCAAAUAUUUUAAAGACUGAUUUUUUAAAUUCCAAGUUAGGAAAUUUACCUUUUUUUCCCUGGCAGAGAUUAUGGACUCCAAAAGGGCUCCUUCUGAAGGGUUUGGGUUGGAGAAUUAGUGAUGGGAGGAAGGUCUCUAUCUGGGAAGAUGCUUAGGCUCCUGGAAAUGAUGAUUUCAAAGUUCAGUACAUGGAUUCUAAUUUGAGUCUAAGUACAAUUGCAGACUUGAUUGAUGCCAAUACAAGAAAAUGGAAAGUUGAUCUGAUUCGUAAUACCUUUAUGGAGAAGGAUGCAGAGAGGAUUUUAUGCAUUCCUUUGUCCAUGAAUCUGCAUGAAGACCAUAUCAUCUGGCGUGUGUGAGCCGACGGAGGAGUAUUUGGUUCGUAGUGGGCGUAAAUUUCUUUUACAAGAUGGACAGAACCAAGGACAAUUAAAUUACAGACAAUUUUACAAGAAAUUGUGGAAUUUAGAUCUACCCCAAAAAAUUAAAAUUACAAACUGGAGGUUUUCCUGUAACUAUUUGCCUACUUUUAGUAAUCUACACUUUAAAAGAAUGAUGGGUUCUGCCACUUGCCAAAGAUGUCAAACUGGAGUAGAAGCGAGGGAACACUUGUUUCGGGAGUGUUCUACAACAAAGGAGACAUAGGAGAAGUUAAGUGUUAGUUGGCCUAUUGCAGAUGCAAAUACUGAAUUCAAAGAAUGGAUGAAAAACAUUUUUGAUUCAAAUUCCAUGGCUAAGUGCAGGUUGAUAGCAUGUGCAAUGUGGGCGAUAUGGACAUCAAGAAACAGAUUUAUUCAUGAAGGAGAGUAGAAAUCAGGUUUUCAAAUAACAGAUUUUAUGAUCAACUACCUUAAGGAACUUGAUGGGUUUAAUACACACUUACCAAGGAGAAGGAUACACACGGACAAAUGGGUAGCUCCAAACGGUUUGAUGGUAAAAAUCAACUUUGAUACUACGUUUAACAAGCAAAGGAAUGAGCCUUGCUCCGGGUUAGUGGUUCGAAACGAAAGAGCAGGAGUUAUUUGUUCAAAAAAGUCAUGCACAAGAACAUAUAGUCUAUUUUUGCAGCAGAAGCAAUGGCGUGUCUCCAGGCAAUCAAUCUAGGGUUAAAUCUCAGAUUAAAGGCGAUUAAAAUUGAAGGAGAUUCUCGUUCGGUGAUUCGUAAACUGCAAGCAAAGGAAGAAGACAGAUCUGAGAUUGAAGUUUAUAUUAAAGACUCUAAGCAACUAAAUUUAGGCUUUGGAUAUUGUGUCUUUCGAUUUACCCAUAAAGAAUCUAACAAGGUUUCCCAUAUCCUAGCUACAGAGGGAAUCAAAAAAAGGGAGACAACUUAUCAGAUGAAUAUGGUUCCUUCUGUUGCGGAGGAAGCGGUGGAUGCCGAUCGAAGAUGGACGAGGUCCAUGAAGGAAUGAAGAGGCAAGAGUGUUCAAAGAGAGACUGAAUAUGGUCUUGAAUAGACAGAUGGAUAGAUGAAUACAGAUAUACAUUGAAGAGAGUUAUUGUUUCUGAUGAAAGAGUAAUGGAGCAUAAUUGUGAAGAUAUUUUUGCGGUUUCCCAAGACUUUUUGUUACUUUUCAGGAGAGGGGUUGAUUAAUGGAGAACACCUGGGGUAGGAUAUAUCUCUAAAGCUUCCCUGUUUGGCAAACUGGAUCUAAGUUUUUG
This 30001-nucleotide long non-coding RNA is filed under the name Gossypium barbadense (sea-island cotton). RNAcentral describes it as "long non-coding RNA (GBAR_LNC014910)". Lineage: Eukaryota; Viridiplantae; Streptophyta; Magnoliopsida; Malvales; Malvaceae. The record is from RNAcentral.